UACAGAGGGUGCGAGCGUUAAUCGAAAUUACUGGGCGUAAAGGGUGUGUAGGUGGCUGGGUAAGUCAGAUGUGAAAGCCCCGGGCUUAACCUGGGAAUGGCCUUUGAUACUGCCGAGCUAGAGUUUUGUAGAGGGACACGGAAUUCCGGGUGGAGUGGUGAAAUGCGUAGAGAUCCGGAGGAACACCAAAGGCGAAGGCAGUGUCCUGGGGAGUACCUGACGCUCAGGUGCGAAAGCCAGGGGAGCGAACGGG
RNAcentral lists this ribosomal RNA (253 nucleotides) under uncultured bacterium. Its description in RNAcentral is "partial 16S ribosomal RNA". It matches the Rfam family "Bacterial small subunit ribosomal RNA", at positions 524 to 776 of the family's 1533-position model. The record is from RNAcentral.